Molecule: ribosomal RNA, 492 nt
Filed under: uncultured bacterium
Lineage: Bacteria
Description: partial 16S ribosomal RNA
Rfam family: Bacterial small subunit ribosomal RNA
Source: RNAcentral
AGUGAACGCUGGCGGUAGGCCUAACACAUGCAAGUCGAACGGCAGCACAGUAAGAGCUUGCUCUUACGGGUGGCGAGUGGCGGACGGGUGAGGAAUACAUCGGAAUCUACUUUUUCGUGGGGGAUAACGUAGGGAAACUUACGCUAAUACCGCAUACGACCUACGGGUGAAAGCAGGGGAUCUUCGGACCUUGCGCGAUUGAAUGAGCCGAUGUCGGAUUAGCUAGUUGGCGGGGUAAAGGCCCACCAAGGCGACGAUCCGUAGCUGGUCUGAGAGGAUGAUCAGCCACACUGGAACUGAGACACGGUCCAGACUCCUACGGGAGGCAGCAGUGGGGAAUAUUGGACGAUGGGCGCAAGCCUGAUCCAGCAAUACCGCGUAGGUGCAGAAGGCCUUCGGGUUGUAAAGCCCUUUUGUUGGGAAAGAAAAGCAGCAGGUUAAUACCCCGCUGUUCUGACGGUACCCAAAGAAUAAGCACCGGCUAACUUCGUG